CUGGUUGAGACCUCUGAAACCAUGAGCCUGAAAAUAAACUUAUUCUCCUUUAAUUGUUCUUGUCAGGUGUUUUGGUCAUAGCAGGGAAAAAGCUGACUAAAACACAGUCUAUGAUGCAGUUUUUAUUACUGAGCAUCAAAUCAUCUUUGCUGUUCCUGGAGUUCACUAACCAAAUCAGAGAUGGUUUAUCAAGAUCAUUCACUGACUUCCAUCCUUAUCUCUUUUUUGUUUUCAUGGAUAUCAUCAUCAAAUACUCUUUAAAAUCUGUGUUAAUGGCAAUGUUUAAAACUUUUAAAAAUAUUUGUUUUUUUUUUUUUGGUGUUUAGCUUUUUGAGUUCUUUAUAUACCCUAGUGAUUAGUGCUCUAUCUGAUGUGUGAGGGGUAAAGGUUUGUUCCCAAGAUGUAGGCUCUCUAUUAACCUCACAGAUCAUUUCUUUUGCUGAGAAGAAGCUUUGUAGUUUGAGUCCACUUAUUGAUGCCCUUCAGUAGAUGAAUGGAUAAAAAAAAAUGUGUCAUAUAUACACAAUGGAAUAUUACUCAGCAAUAAAAGAGAAUAAAAUCAUGGCAUUUGCAGGUAAAUGGAUAGAGUUAGAGAAGGUAAUGCUAAGUGAAGUUAUCCAAUCCCCAAAAAACACAAAUGCCAAAUGUUUUCUCUGAUAUAAGAAGAUUGAUUCAUAGUGGGAUAGGGAGAGGGAGCAUGGGAGAAAUAAACAAACUCUAGAUAGGGCAAAGGGGUUGAAGUGUAAGGGAGGGGCAUGGAUUAAUUAAUGAUGAUGGAAUGUGAUGAUCAUUACUAUUCAAAGUACAUGUAUGAAGACACAAAUUGUGUGAAAAUACGAUGUAUACAACCAGAGAUAUGAAAAAAUGUGCUCUAUAUAUGUAAUAAGAAUUGUAAUGCUUUCUGCUGCCUAUAAAUAAAAAAAUUACAUAAAAAAUAAAAUAAAGUAAAAUAAUUUCAUUUAAGAAAACUUUAAAAAAUAUUUCAAAUCAUACAAACAUGAUAUAACCACAUCAAACUCUAAUGGACACCCCCCAAAAAUUUUCAUAAAAUACUUUGCUACUGAAAGAGCAUCUCUAAUCAUAAUAAAAAUAAUUUGAGUUUAGCACAUUUAAAUAUUUGAGGUGAGGUAUCAAAACUUUUGUUUUUGUGAAGUGAACAGAUAUAUUAGUCCUUAAGAGUUGAGUUGGGCAGGCAGUUUAGAUAAUUUGACACUAAGAUAAUUGCCCUGGCUGUGACUUUCAUUGGUGUAAUUGUGAUUAAGAUGGUCUUAAGGAUACCAUGAGCUUGACUAAAUUUUAGACAGAUUUAUUCAUGCCUGUAGAACCCUGAAAUCCAUUUUCUUCAAGUGGUUGUUUUAGAAUACUUCAUUUUCUUCAUGCAUUUACUUUAAAACGCUUACUAAUUGACAAUUUUGUCUCUUCCCCUUUUGGGUAUAAAUCAUAAAAGCACCUUGCAAGUGUUAAAACUCAGGAAUAUCUUUCUCAAAGACCUGGGAGCCAUUUCUUUAAAAUGUAGUCAUUGUCAUUGUCGUCGUCAUCAUCAUCAUCAUCAUCAUCAUCAUCACCAUCAUUAAGGAAGAUAGAAUUUCUCUUUCCUGUCCCUGUGGGAAACCAGGAACCUAACUUCUAAAUUCCAUAGCAACAAUUUACAAACAAUAGAUGGACUUAACACUUUGACCAAACUCCCACUAACUUUCACUGGUACUUUUUUAACUAGCUCACCCCUAUUUAAAAAUAUACUUCAAUAUUUUGUUUCAAUAGAUUUGAGUUCAGUCUCUUCUUUUGCAAUAGUGCUGAAUAAAGGUACGUUGCCUGUUUAACUCCAUCCAGGGAUGUUUCUCCUUGACCAUGGCUGAAUGAUCCAUUAACCUGUUUCCACAUUCAGAGAAAAGAGUUUACUCUGGCACCUAUGAUUUCAAAAUGGAGUUUCUUGUGCUUUCCAAUAUCUGAGCAUCUAGUUAUAAGUAUUUUUUAUUCUUCCUACUCAUAUAUUAACAAUAGAAAGACUAAGAAUUCAGUUCUCAAUAAUUGUAAAUUUUGUAGUCAAUUUGACUUUCAUGGCCAGGAAUAAUCUGAGCUCUCUAGCAAAACAAUACAGUCUUGAUAUUUGUGCGAAUGAAUUCAGUUCAUGAAUACAUGCUUUCUUUUAUAAGUCAGGAAAAUAAUAAUCAAAACUGAACUACUGUUCUGACUUUC
RNAcentral lists this long non-coding RNA (2196 nucleotides) under Marmota monax (woodchuck). Lineage: Eukaryota; Metazoa; Chordata; Mammalia; Rodentia; Sciuridae. The record is from RNAcentral.